GACGAACGCUGGCGGCGUGCUUAACACAUGCAAGUCGAACGGAAAGGCCCUGCUUUUGUGGGGUGCUCGAGUGGCGAACGGGUGAGUAACACGUGAGUAACCUGCCCUUGACUUUGUGAUAACUUCAGGAAACUGGGGCUAAUACCGGAUAGGAGCUCCUGCUGCAUGGUGGGGGUUGGAAAGUGUCGGCGGUUGGGGAUGGACUGGCGGCUUAUCAGCUUGUUGGGGGGGUAGUGGCUUACCAAGGCUUUGACGGGUAGCCGGCCUGAGAGGGUGACCGGCCACAUUGGGACUGAGAUACGGCCCAGACUCCUACGGGAGGCAGCAGUGGGGAAUAUUGCACAAUGGGCGGAAGCCUGAUGCAGCAACGCCGCGUGCGGGAUGACGGCCUUCGGGUUGUAAACCGCUUUCGACUGUGACGAAGCGUGAGUGACGGUAAUGGGUAAAGAAGCACCGGCUAACUACGUG
RNAcentral lists this ribosomal RNA (468 nucleotides) under uncultured bacterium. Its description in RNAcentral is "partial 16S ribosomal RNA". It matches the Rfam family "Bacterial small subunit ribosomal RNA", at positions 28 to 507 of the family's 1533-position model. The record is from RNAcentral.